GCUGCUUCUGUAGUGUAGUCCGUGCAUCCGCCCUUCGAUGCUUGGGUUGGAUCAUAGAGCAGU
Molecule: microRNA precursor, 63 nt
Organism: Gorilla gorilla gorilla (western lowland gorilla)
Lineage: Eukaryota; Metazoa; Chordata; Mammalia; Primates; Hominidae
Source: Ensembl